RNAcentral lists this small nuclear RNA (116 nucleotides) under Carassius auratus (goldfish). RNAcentral describes it as "U5 spliceosomal RNA (ENSCARG00000043094.1)". It matches the Rfam family "U5 spliceosomal RNA". From Rfam's summary of the family: U5 RNA is a component of both types of known spliceosome. The precise function of this molecule is unknown, though it is known that the 5' loop is required for splice site selection and p220 binding, and that both the 3' stem-loop and the Sm site are important for Sm protein binding and cap methylation. Lineage: Eukaryota; Metazoa; Chordata; Actinopteri; Cypriniformes; Cyprinidae. The record is from Rfam by way of RNAcentral.
AGCUCGAGUUUCUCUUCAUUGUCGCAUAAAUCUUUCGCCUUUUACUAAAGAUUUCCGUGGAGGGGAACUUUUGCGAGUGACCUGUAUUUUUUGGGUGCUCUGCUCACAGCAGAGCU